This 253-nucleotide ribosomal RNA is filed under the name uncultured bacterium. RNAcentral's name for it is "partial 16S ribosomal RNA". It matches the Rfam family "Bacterial small subunit ribosomal RNA", at positions 524 to 776 of the family's 1533-position model. The record is from RNAcentral.
UACGGAGGAGGCAAGCGUUAUCCGGAAUUAUUGGGCGUAAAGCGCCCGUAGGUGGCGUUUCAAGUCUGUGGUCAAAGACUGGGGCUUAACCCUGGAAAGGCCGUGGAAACUGAAUAGCUAGAGGGCAGUAGGGGUAGAGGGAAUUCCCGGUGUAGCGGUGAAAUGCGUAGAGCUCGGGAAGAACAUCGGUGGCGAAAGCGCGCUGCUGGACUGCAACUGACACUCAGGGACGAAAGCUAGGGGAGCGAAUGGG